UUGAUUUGAUACCAAGCAUUGUCUGAUAAAGAGAGAAAGAGAGUACAUCAAAGUGAUAGAAUUGAUGUUGAUGAUUAUUAAAAGAAAGAUACUGUUACAUGAGAAUUCUCAUUGAAGAGCACUAGUUGCAGGCAACAAUGCAGGAAAGGGUAAGCAAAGCUUCAAUCAAGAAUCACCAUGACUAUCUGGUUUUUGGAAGCUGUAUUUGUUCUCUGAAGAUGCCACCUUAUUCUUCUUUCUUUGCAAUCUUCUACCUACUUUUGAUGCUAUUCUUAAAACAGACUCCAUUAUAAUGGAUAUGAUUCUAACCUUGAUCUGCCCUCUUUUUGGAGGUACCCUUUUUUGCUUUACCUCACCUUCUGCCUUUUCCAUAGCCAAGUUACAGACUUGAAGGAAUUUCAGAGAAAAGAAAAUAUUAGCAUCAACUGAUCAAACUGAG
This 439-nucleotide long non-coding RNA is filed under the name Gossypium barbadense (sea-island cotton). RNAcentral describes it as "long non-coding RNA (GBAR_LNC019478)". Lineage: Eukaryota; Viridiplantae; Streptophyta; Magnoliopsida; Malvales; Malvaceae. The record is from RNAcentral.